GAGUGAACGCUGGCGGUAGGCCUAACACAUGCAAGUCGAACGGCAGCACAGUAAGAGCUUGCUCUUACGGGUGGCGAGUGGCGGACGGGUGAGGAAUACAUCGGAAUCUACUUUUUCGUGGGGUAUAACGUAGGGAAACUUACGCUAAUACCGCAUACGACCUACGGGUGAAAGCAGGGGAUCUUCGGACCUUGCGCGAUUGAAUGAGCCGAUGUCGGAUUAGCUAGUUGGCGGGGUAAAGGCCCACCAAGGCGACGAUCCGUAGCUGGUCUGAGAGGAUGAUAAGCCACACGGGAACUGAGACACGGUCCAGACUCCUACGGGAGGCAGCAGUGGGGAAUAUUGGACAAUGGGCGCAAGCAUGAUCCAGCCAUACCGCGUGGGUGAAGAAGGCCUUCGGGUUGUAAAGCCCUUUUGUUGGGAAAGAAAAGCAGCAGGUUAAGACCCCGCUGUUCUGACGGUACCCAAAGAAUAAGCACCGGCUAACUUCGUG
This 493-nucleotide ribosomal RNA is filed under the name uncultured bacterium. RNAcentral's name for it is "partial 16S ribosomal RNA". It matches the Rfam family "Bacterial small subunit ribosomal RNA", at positions 27 to 507 of the family's 1533-position model. The record is from RNAcentral.